ACUCCUACGGGAGGCAGCAGUGGGAAUAUUGCACAAUGGGGAACCGUAGCUGNAGCCAUGCCGCGUGUGUGAAGAAGGCCUUCGGGUUGUAAAGCACUUUCAGUAGGGAGGAAGGUAGUGUAGUUAACACCUGCAUUAUUUGACGUUACCUACAGAAGAAGCACCGGCUAACUCCGUGCCAGCAGCCGCGGUAAUACGGAGGGUGCGAGCGUUAAUCGGAAUUACUGGGCGUAAAGCGCAUGCAGGCGGCCUGUUAAGUCAGAUGUGAAAGCCCGGGC
This 278-nucleotide ribosomal RNA is filed under the name uncultured bacterium. Its description in RNAcentral is "partial 16S ribosomal RNA". It matches the Rfam family "Bacterial small subunit ribosomal RNA", at positions 335 to 607 of the family's 1533-position model. The record is from RNAcentral.